GGAGUUGUGGCUCAGAGGUAAAGCGCUCGCCUAGCAUGCGUGAAGCACUGGGUUCAAUCUUCAGCACUACA
RNAcentral lists this transfer RNA (71 nucleotides) under Marmota monax (woodchuck). RNAcentral's name for it is "tRNA.Ala". Lineage: Eukaryota; Metazoa; Chordata; Mammalia; Rodentia; Sciuridae. The record is from RNAcentral.